Molecule: long non-coding RNA, 201 nt
Filed under: Mytilus galloprovincialis (Mediterranean mussel)
Lineage: Eukaryota; Metazoa; Mollusca; Bivalvia; Mytilida; Mytilidae
Source: RNAcentral
GAAGAGCAUUGAGGACUCAUCAGUGACGCUCAUAUCAAAAUAUUUAUAAAGCCAAACAAGUACGAAGUUGAAGAGCAUUGAGGAUCCAAAAUUCCAAAAAGUUGUGCCAAAAACGGCUAAGGUAAUCUAUUCCUGGGAUAAGAAAAUCCUUAGUUUUUCGAAAAUUCAAAGUUUUAUAUUCAGGAAAUUUAUAAAAAUGAC